CGGGAUGUGGCGUAGUUUGGUAGCGCGCCUGACUUGGGAUCAGGAGGUCAUAGGUUCAAAUCCUAUCAUCCCGA
This 74-nucleotide transfer RNA is filed under the name Pharyngomonas kirbyi. Its description in RNAcentral is "tRNA-Pro". It matches the Rfam family "tRNA". From Rfam's summary of the family: Transfer RNA (tRNA) molecules are approximately 80 nucleotides in length. Their secondary structure includes four short double-helical elements and three loops (D, anti-codon, and T loops). Lineage: Eukaryota; Heterolobosea; Pharyngomonadea; Pharyngomonadida; Pharyngomonadidae. The record is from RNAcentral.